This 322-nucleotide long non-coding RNA is filed under the name Nicotiana benthamiana. RNAcentral describes it as "long non-coding RNA (NBEN_LNC035487)". Lineage: Eukaryota; Viridiplantae; Streptophyta; Magnoliopsida; Solanales; Solanaceae. The record is from RNAcentral.
UCCUUCGUAGGUGCUGCACUAUUUCUUCAUUGGAGAAUGAGGUAGAACUUCUGUAAACCCUAUCAGAUUUGACAGAACUUUGGAAUUUCAUAUCAUGUAUUCCUUCAUUUAAUAUUGCAUUUACACAUGAAAGUGGCAGAGAAGCUUCAUCCACUUGAUUAUGUAAACCUCCAAAAUCCCUUCCGUUGCUACUCAGCAUUUACACAUGAAAGUGGCAGAGAAGCUUCAUCCACUUGAUUAUGUAAAGCUCCAAAAUCCCUUCCAUUGCUACUCGGACUAUAUGACUUAUGUACUAAUGAAUGAUCACCGGAGUCCUCUGUGG